This is a long non-coding RNA of Syngnathoides biaculeatus (alligator pipefish), 1549 nucleotides long. RefSeq lists it as uncharacterized. The transcript is spliced from 3 exons. NCBI's taxonomy places the organism in Eukaryota, Metazoa, Chordata, Actinopteri, Syngnathiformes, Syngnathidae. The record is from RefSeq and is a predicted model, not a curated record.
GUUAUAUAAGGAGCCCACACAAAUGGGCGAAGAAUGGCCAGGGUGGCGUCGGAUCGGCUGUUUCCAGUUGUUUGUGACGAGACGAUUGCUUCCAUAGCGGAAAAAAUCUGCCUUGAUUGUCAAACAAAUAUUUGAAAUCAAACUGCGACACAUUUUACACAAGCCAUCAGCAGACCUCACCAAAAAAAGACCUCCUUUCAGCCGGCAUCAAGGGCGGUCAGCGUCUCAGCUGCCAUCUGCCGGUGAAUCGACAACUUCCUGAUGUGCAGGACACACCAGGUGAGGCUGGGGGGACACACCUCAUCCAUGCGCACUAUCAGCACCGGGGCUCUCAGAGGUUGUGUCCUCUCCCUUUUGCUCUUCUCACUCUACACAAACGACUGCACCUUGUGGCAUCCGACUGGCAAACUCCUGAAGUUUGCAGAUGACAACGGUCGUCGGCCUCAUCAAAGACGGCAACGAGUCUUCGUAUCAACAGAAAGUGGCAAGACUGGACCUUGGGUGUGGUCAACACAACCUGGCGUUGAACACUCUAAAGACUGUAGCGGUGACUGCGGACUCCAGGGGGCAUCCUGCACCACAGCUCCCCUUGAUGACGUCCAACUGUCUUUUGUCAAUCAUCGAGACCUUCAAGUUCUUGGGAAUUACAUUCUCAGAGGACCUGAAGUGGGAGACAAACAUCAACUCUAUCCUAAAAAAAAAAAAAAAAAGAUGUACUUCUUCCAGCUUCUGAUGAAGCAGGGCCUGUCACAAGAGUUGCUGAGACAGUUCUACACGGCAGUCAUUCAAUCAGUACUGUGUACUUCCAUCACAGUCUGCACUGGGGCUGCCACAAAAAAGGACAAACUCCAACUGCAACGGACAAUCAAAACUGCUAAACGAAUUCUCGUCACCACUCUACCCACUAAUGAGGACUUGCAUGCAACGUGAACUAGGUCCAGAGCAGGCAGGAUCCUCUCGGACCUACCACAUCCUGGCACCAGCUCUUCCAGCUCUUUCCAUCAGGUAAGCGCUACAGCUCAAUGCAAGUCAAAAGUAGCAAGCAUUCAAACAAUGUUUUUCCUCUGGCAAUUAAUUCAUUAAAUUGAUCAGCGAACCUACUAUUUUUCCUGCCUUGUGCCAUGUUAGGACACCCAAUCUCAUCCUGGUGGUUCAAUCAGUAUGAGUAUUAGUAAUAUAUUUUGUAGACUAUCGCACGAUUCGUCACUUUAAACUGCUCCCUUUGCACAAAUUGUCAUUGCACGAGUCUAUAACGUUAACCGCAAUCAGGUACAAGCACUGUAGACUGUACAAGCUUAACACAAUGUGGGACGUUGAAACACUUUUCUCUUACACGAUUACAAGAUUUCUAAAAGCAAAAGAUUUUACAUCUUGCACAACUUUUAUAAGCAAUAUUUCCUAUAAACAGAAAUGUCUCUUGUUCUUUGUUGUUGCUUUGUUCUUAGUUCUGAAUAGGGUUACGUACCGCGGCAGCGCCGACUGCCAGAGAAAAAUUCCUUGUGUGUUUUUACACACUUGGCCAGUAAAGCCGAUUCUGAUGGAGGUGAAA